GCCUGAGUAGUUCAGACGGUUGAGCGUCCGACUUCGGCUCGGGUCAUGAUCUCCCAGUUGGUGAGUUCGAGCCCCACUUCAGGCU
RNAcentral lists this transfer RNA (85 nucleotides) under Felis catus (domestic cat). It matches the Rfam family "tRNA". From Rfam's summary of the family: Transfer RNA (tRNA) molecules are approximately 80 nucleotides in length. Their secondary structure includes four short double-helical elements and three loops (D, anti-codon, and T loops). Further hydrogen bonds mediate the characteristic L-shaped molecular structure. tRNAs have two regions of fundamental functional importance: the anti-codon, which is responsible for specific mRNA codon recognition, and the 3' end, to which the tRNAs corresponding amino acid is attached (by aminoacyl-tRNA synthetases). tRNAs cope with the degeneracy of the genetic code in two manners: having more than one tRNA (with a specific anti-codon) for a particular amino acid; and 'wobble' base-pairing, i.e. permitting non-standard base-pairing at the 3rd anti-codon position. Lineage: Eukaryota; Metazoa; Chordata; Mammalia; Carnivora; Felidae. The record is from Rfam by way of RNAcentral.